AAAUUGAAGAGUUUGAUCAUGGCUCAGAUUGAACGCUGGCGGCAGGCCUAACACAUGCAAGUCGAACGGUAACAGGAAGCAGCUUGCUGCUUCGCUGACGAGUGGCGGACGGGUGAGUAAUGUCUGGGAAACUGCCUGAUGGAGGGGGAUAACUACUGGAAACGGUGGCUAAUACCGCAUAACGUCGCAAGACCAAAGAGGGGGACCUUCGGGCCUCUUGCCAUCAGAUGUGCCCAGAUGGGAUUAGCUAGUUGGUGAGGUAACGGCUCACCAAGGCGACGAUCCCUAGCUGGUCUGAGAGGAUGACCAGCCACACUGGAACUGAGACACGGUCCAGACUCCUACGGGAGGCAGCAGUGGGGAAUAUUGCACAAUGGGCGCAAGCCUGAUGCAGCCAUGCCGCGUGUAUGAAGAAGGCCUUCGGGUUGUAAAGUACUUUCAGCGGGGAGGAAGGUGUUGUGGUUAAUAACCACAGCAAUUGACGUUACCCGCAGAAGAAGCACCGGCUAACUCCGUGCCAGCAGCCGCGGUAAUACGGAGGGUGCAAGCGUUAAUCGGAAUUACUGGGCGUAAAGCGCACGCAGGCGGUCUGUCAAGUCGGAUGUGAAAUCCCCGGGCUCAACCUGGGAACUGCAUUCGAAACUGGCAGGCUUGAGUCUUGUAGAGGGGGGUAGAAUUCCAGGUGUAGCGGUGAAAUGCGUAGAGAUCUGGAGGAAUACCGGUGGCGAAGGCGGCCCCCUGGACAAAGACUGACGCUCAGGUGCGAAAGCGUGGGGAGCAAACAGGAUUAGAUACCCUGGUAGUCCACGCCGUAAACGAUGUCUACUUGGAGGUUGUGCCCUUGAGGCGUGGCUUCCGGAGCUAACGCGUUAAGUAGACCGCCUGGGGAGUACGGCCGCAAGGUUAAAACUCAAAUGAAUUGACGGGGGCCCGCACAAGCGGUGGAGCAUGUGGUUUAAUUCGAUGCAACGCGAAGAACCUUACCUGGUCUUGACAUCCACGGAAGUUUUCAGAGAUGAGAAUGUGCCUUCGGGAACCGUGAGACAGGUGCUGCAUGGCUGUCGUCAGCUCGUGUUGUGAAAUGUUGGGUUAAGUCCCGCAACGAGCGCAACCCUUAUCCUUUGUUGCCAGCGGUUAGGCCGGGAACUCAAAGGAGACUGCCAGUGAUAAACUGGAGGAAGGUGGGGAUGACGUCAAGUCAUCAUGGCCCUUACGACCAGGGCUACACACGUGCUACAAUGGCGCAUACAAAGAGAAGCGACCUCGCGAGAGCAAGCGGACCUCAUAAAGUGCGUCGUAGUCCGGAUUGGAGUCUGCAACUCGACUCCAUGAAGUCGGAAUCGCUAGUAAUCGUGGAUCAGAAUGCCACGGUGAAUACGUUCCCGGGCCUUGUACACACCGCCCGUCACACCAUGGGAGUGGGUUGCAAAAGAAGUAGGUAGCUUAACCUUCGGGAGGGCGCUUACCACUUUGUGAUUCAUGACUGGGGUGAAGUCGUAACAAGGUAACCGUAGGGGAACCUGCGGUUGGAUCACCUCCUUACCUUAAAGAA
Molecule: ribosomal RNA, 1552 nt
Filed under: Salmonella enterica subsp. enterica serovar Heidelberg
Lineage: Bacteria; Pseudomonadati; Pseudomonadota; Gammaproteobacteria; Enterobacterales; Enterobacteriaceae
Also listed under: 1 other name
Description: bacterial SSU rRNA
Rfam family: Bacterial small subunit ribosomal RNA
Source: RNAcentral